Molecule: long non-coding RNA, 2376 nt
Organism: Alosa sapidissima (American shad)
Lineage: Eukaryota; Metazoa; Chordata; Actinopteri; Clupeiformes; Clupeidae
Exons: 2
Source: RefSeq, a predicted model, not a curated record
AGGCUAUUUUUCAGUAGUUCAAAAGACCUAAAUUAUCCCAUGGCAAUUAUUUUGUUGUUCAUGUUGACAAGACGUCUUCGGUUACGGAAGACCUCUGUUCUAGGACAGCAAACAAAGGUGUGCAGAUGGAAGGACAAAAUGGAAGAAUAAUGGCUUUAUCUGUCUGAACAUAACAGCGUGUAAAUCUACACUGUGGUGAUGAUUGGGGUCGCAGGUCUGAUUGCAACCCGGAACUCCCUUUUACAGGUCAGUGGUGCACUACCAAGGAAAUGGCCUGGCACCUCUGUCAUAACUUCAAAUAUGAGAACUUGCGAGGAUGAAUUCCUUCCCGCAAGGGAAAUAGUUUGGGUUUGAUAUCCUUUUACCUUCUGCAGAAGCAGCAGACAGCGUGGCCGGACAUUAUUGGAAAUGUUUCAAACGAAACGUGUGCCAAUGAAAGCUUUUCAACAGGAACCAUCUCUGACAAGAUAAUUUGCCCUUGCUCAAAGCCAGCUUUUCCACAAGGGAAGUUAAAAGGAUGCAAUAAUCAUUCACAAAAUAGCUGUCUCAAUUCACUUCAGCGAAUGACACCAACACUCUGUUGUUCCUUCCUGAUUAAUAACUAGUGUUCUCUAAAGGGAGUUUACCAAGAAUUGCCAGCAUCUCAAAGAUAAAGGACAAGCUGGCAGGAGGAAGCAACUGUAUGCAAAUGCUUUGAAUAUAGGGGCAUCAACAUCGCACAUUCAGGCUGUAGUGCGUGUUUGUGCAUGGGCAAAAGCCCUUGUGAGUGGGUUAGAUUCUUGACAUAUCCAAAAGAUAACAGCUUGGCUGUGUGUCCGUAGUCCAACCAUAAGGGCAUGAACCUUGACACUAAAGCCUCUACUGUGCUCCUGGAAUUCCAUGAAUAGCCCAGCUUGCAUGUGGGCCAUCCUCAGCAUAACACACAGACCCACACACACAGACACACACACACACACUCUCCCUCUCGCACACAAGAAGCAAGCUCUUCAAAUUCCUCACCACCACUUAGAAGAACUCCACACGCGCAAUAACAAACGCAAAACACAGGCCUUCAGUUAAUCUUAUCUGGCCUAUUUGGUCAGGGAGACAAUGUAUUGAGACAAGCUUGAACAUAACCCAAGCGCAGAUGUUGUCCUCGGCCUGGGAACGGCACUGUGGUAAACAAGCCGCUAUUCCCUUGCCCUUACUCUGCGGGUGACAUGCCUUCUCCCCCUGCACCCUAUAUGGGAAGAGGCUGUGUCCGGAUCUUUCUCACACACAUACAUACACGAGGUGAGGACGCGCGGAAGAGAAUGAAGUUUGCAAUUCAACAUGUCCAAUGAUAAACAGCACAGCUGAGCUAUCAACACAGCAGACAAAACACUAGGAGCUAUGCACAUUUUAAGUCAAGGAUAGGCAAACAUACUUGCCAAACAUGCAAUCUUCUGUCUUCCAGGCCUUGAGGCAGCUGUAUACUCCCACCCCUCUCCCCCCAAACCCCCUCCCAGUAACUGCACAGCGAGGGUUGCCGAGGGCCUACACAUGGAAAGAUUCUUUACCUCACAUACAGUUACCACACACAGAGAAGCAAAACAGCAUCACAAUGUAAACAGACUAAGGACGGAUUGUUGUAGUUGCCAGCAUUAGCUUCAGUUUUAUGACUAAUGGAAUGUCCAGUAAAUAAAGAACUUUGCAAGAUAUCCACUGCUAUCAAUAGGGAAAAGCAAAAAACAUGGAUUGGAGACAUUACAAAUUGAUUGCGAUGUGAGAUUCUUGUGCUGAAAGUGUAAGACUUAACAUCCCACCGUAGGGAUUUAUCAAGCUCGAGGGGAGCUUACGUGCUUUGACCCUGUCCGGUAAACAACCAUGAAAGAGAAUGUAAUAUCUGGUAAGAUUCUGUUCAACAACGACCACAAACAAGCGCACUGAUCAGCUAAUGCGAACACCCAGAUGGCUCAUUUCUCCAAUGCUUUGCUCUGAUGAUCUUUUAGUGGACAGUCUGUGUACGUCCAACCAUGAAAGGUCACAUAGCAGUCUAAUCUUGCUUACUGUACGUACUGUACACACCGCCGCCGACUUGAGCUUCCAAAGAAGCUCGGGUCACCCUGUCAAGGACGUUUGUCAAAAAAGUACAGGGAAGCUUUGGACGCUUUGGCCGCUCUGACGUGGCAGCAUUCUACAUUCAAUCACCUUCUAUCUUAGGCCAACUAAGUUACUUUAUUUAAAGGCCGUCUAUUCCGAUUGGUUGCUGGUCGUUGGUCGCUGAACCGCGUCAUAGCUCAUUACCAUAAAGUUGACCAACGUUCAACUUUCUGCUUGACGCUCAAGACGGCCAAAAUGCGAUGCUGACGGAUUUGCCGCUUCUUGCAGCUGAGAGAAGCCGGCCUCCAUUGAAAA